This 1588-nucleotide long non-coding RNA is filed under the name Olea europaea subsp. europaea. Lineage: Eukaryota; Viridiplantae; Streptophyta; Magnoliopsida; Lamiales; Oleaceae. The record is from RNAcentral.
CAAACUCACUGUCAAUUUGACAUUUAUCACUACGAAAUCAACAUUCAAGGUCACAAUUUGAAGAUUCACAAAUCGAAUUAUCUCGUCACAAUAUAACAGAGUUAACGCCAUGGCUGUGUUUUACUUUUGGGAAUAGUUCGGAAGGUUGUUGACUUCGCAAUUGAAGAUUUCAAAUCGAAGCAGUGUCGAAAAAACAUUUAGCAGUUACCGUCGGUAAGUCGUGCCAUGAAUGCAUGAAUUUGACCUUUUUAACGACAUAAUACAUCCAUUCAUUGCAAUUGGGUACAUUAAGCUCUACGAUCAAUUUUUACUUUUGUUUCUAAAGCAACUACUGCAUUGUUGAUUCAAUUAUGGUCAAUGUUUAUAAAACUCAUACAUUUGAUCACAUUUACGUACACGUGAAUGUAAUAAAGAAACAUAAGUCUAUGGCGUGAAUUCGAUAUAGUGAACUACAUUAUUAAAAUAUUUGUUCACCAUCUGUGCGUUUCUAAUUUAACUAUUCAUUGAAAUGUUUAUAGUGUGUGUAUAUGACCAAUAUGCAUGUACAUUCUGCUUUGACAAGUUGCAUAUGAUUUGUGACCAAUAUAUAGUGAUUUGUGACUAGAGUUAACUAAGUUGUGUCAAGUUGAGUAUGAUUUGUGACCAAUAUACAGUGAUCUAUGACUUCGAUUCAAUAUGUCGUGUCAAGUUGUAUAAGAUCUGAAACCAAAAUAUAGUGAUACGUGACUAAAAGUGUAUGCAUACAUAUAUGACCUGAAAUCUGUUUGUGUGAAAACGAAUCUUUCAAUUAUGAGUGUAUGGGAUAAUCUGUGACCUAAAAUCUAAUAUUCUGACCAAUUGCAGUAAACUGUGACGCUUGUGUAUAUUAGAACAUGCAAUAUAAGUUUUGACUUCUGAGAAAAAAAAUGUAGUGAUAGUAGUGUACUGUCGUACAUUACGCUACAGGAAAUGGAUCGUAACCCUUCGAAAUACUCGUUAAGUAUUAAUGUAACAGCAGCAGAAAUUGAGCAACAGAGUAUUACAGUUCCAGCUAAUGUACAGAGUAGUGGAGAGCUGUUUUCAUUACAGGAUCUGGAAUCAGACAUUUGCAAUGCAGCAAUUGAACCAGCAGGUCACACAUUUGAACAAGAAAUCACAGUUGUGAAAAUCGCCGAUGCCAUAGAGGUGCAAGAAGGAAAGAUCUUUCGUGAUAAAGAAAUUCUAAAAUUGAGUCUUUCUUUUCUCGCAAUAAAGAACAUGUUUGAGUUUAUGGUUGUUUUGGUCGGACAAGAAGGAAUAUGUUGUCAGGUGUGUGCAUGACGAAUGUACAUUGUGGAGGAUGUGGUCACAACCGGAGAAAAUGCAGUAAUAUGGUUUCAUUAAGCCAAAAUUAAGCAAGGACAAAAACAAAAGAACGGUAACUCAGAUGAUGACACAGUUAGGCAACGAACAUAUCAUUUUUUAUAGCAUUUACAUCUCAAUUGUUAUAUCAUUUUACUGUAAAUGAAAUAUUCAUUGAUGUAAUCGUGGUAUGAAUGAAUACCAUGUGACUUUUGAAGCAGAAUCUGUAAUUUGAUAUUAUGGUUUGUGAUCAACAUAGUAGAAUUUG